AGAUGGUACGAUAAUUAAGAGUGGAAGAUGAAAAAUAUCGUAACCCAAAAGAUCCUUGUGUUGGGAUUGAAAUCGAGCAUGUUAGGGAACGAGAAUCGUCUAAUUCCAAGUGCUAUGGGCGCAGAGUACACCAUCCGCCUACCUAAAGAAAUCAAUCCUAAUCUUACAAGUAAAUGUGGGAGGCGCCCACGAGAAAGAAAAAAUAGGAUAAAAGUAAUGCAUACACGUAUGAGAUGGUUUCUUUUGAGGGGAAGGAUUAUAAUACCAUCAAAUGCAGGUGAAAGUUCUAGGGUGAUAUCCCCCCCUAAGAUGCAAGCGCAAUAUAUAAACAUAAGUGAAUGAAAGAAAAUAAACACAUUAUUCAUCAUAUACACGGAUAUCGAGACGAUUGCGCGUAUGAAUAUGCCAAAAACCCUAAAAAGGAAAAAUGCGACCUAAAACCUCCAAAUGUGAUAUGUAGAAAAGGUUAGAAAAAGAAAAUGAUUGAUUAAAUCAAAUGCUCGAACUCUCUAAAAAGUUCCCAGUGGAGUCGUCAAGCUGUCGCGCCCCAUUUUUAAUGAAAAAUGAAAAUUUACGAGUUUAUAUAAAAUUAAUUUUUGAUUAAUUUUGAUUGAAAAAUGAGUUUUUGAUUUGUAGAGAAUUAAUUAAAAAAAAUGGCCUAAAAUGGGGUUUAAAAUGCGACAAUUUUGGCUCAAAAUAAUAGUUUAAAAAGGAUUUUUAAUAAAAAAUAGUAGUCGCCACUUGGUAUUGAGUUAAGGUGUACCAAAUUACCUACAAUGAAUUUUAAAUCAAAAAAUAGCUAGAAUCCUUUUUAAACGACUCCAAGUCUACGAAAACUAAGAGAAAAGGGGUCACGGUUGAACAAAGGGAAGGCAAAGAUAAAAUCCAAGGCACCUUUUCAAUCUAACUAAGGUUAGUUGCGUGAUUUAGUCAAAAAUUUUAUUAUUUAACCUAAAAUUUAUCACAAUUGGAUGUCAUAUAUGGAUGCAAAAACCUAAACCUAAGAGGAUAUCGAGGGAGGGUCGGAAUAUCUCUUCAAAGGUUAAUUGGUGCAAAUCACAUUAAUUGUGAUGCCCAAGUUGACUCUUUGAAGAGGUCACAAAUAUGCAAAAAUAUGAGACUCGAUGGAAAGAAAGAAAAUAAUAAUUUAUACAAAUAUACAUGACCUAAAGGAAUGUAUCAUAAUGGGUGCGGGGGGCUAUAAUUCGUCACUCAAUUUUCCUUUUUAUAAAGGGAAUACGAGCGUGUUAAGGCUAAGAAGCCAUACUCGUCCAAAUCCCAUAUAUAAAGGGCUAUUUUCUAAUCAACCAAAUGAUCUAACCUAUUUUUAAUUUUCCUUAAAUGAAAAUGUAAUUCUAAUGUCAUGUCUCACACGUAGGGAUAAGGGAUAUAUAC
RNAcentral lists this long non-coding RNA (1395 nucleotides) under Coffea arabica (coffee). Its description in RNAcentral is "long non-coding RNA (CARA_LNC003310)". The record is from RNAcentral. Lineage: Eukaryota; Viridiplantae; Streptophyta; Magnoliopsida; Gentianales; Rubiaceae.